This 1032-nucleotide long non-coding RNA is filed under the name Setaria viridis. Its description in RNAcentral is "long non-coding RNA (SVIR_LNC006965)". Lineage: Eukaryota; Viridiplantae; Streptophyta; Magnoliopsida; Poales; Poaceae. The record is from RNAcentral.
CGGAACUGCCCACCCACACCGCCGGCCCGGCCCCCCACCUCACCACUGAUGCCCCCUCACCGGCCUAUAAAAUGGCCUCAACACCUGGCUCCUUUCCCCACCCAUCCACACGCCGCCCAUGCUCCCUCCCUCGCCAAGCACCGCCGCCUCCACCCGUGCGCCGCCGCCCUUAUCCGUUGCCGGCCGCCCCUCCCUCCCUACUCCAAAUCUCCAAGGUGAGUAGCAAAAUGGGGCCUCCACACCUCCCCCUGCCCUCCCCCACCGUCAGCGCUCGCCGCCGGCAAGGCCCGGCCGGCCAGCCACCACCGACCCACUCCCCCCCCAUUCUCCCUGUGCAACCUAGGGAAGAAGAAGAUAAGAUUCCCCAAUUUCCCAUCUAACCCCCACCUUUCCCCAAAUUCCAAAUAAGUCCUUCCACCACUCUCAAGAACUUCUCACAGAUCAGCCCCUCCACUCCUGAAGAUAUUUACAAAUAGGUCCCUGGUUUCUCACGGUUUAGUCCUAAACUCUCUUUUAAGCCCCUAAUCCAUGUUUAACUCAUCAUUUUCCAAUUAAUCCCAAAUUCGACCACGUCAUUCUCCAAUAUACUUCCGCCGAUCCAUAUCCAAAUUUCCUGAAAAUACUCAUUCUACCUAUUUUUCGUUCGCGUUCUCUGUUCGGAGCUCAACGGGUAAAACCUUAUUUUCUUUUAAUUAUUUGUGUGCCCGUUUGUGUAUGUCGUAGAUCGUGGAGUACCCGAGGAGGAGCAUGAGGAGGAGUUUGACCACGAGCCCGAGCCCGAGGACCAGCAGCAUGACCAGAACUCCCGGAAGGCUUUGAGGACGGCAAGUCCAAUCUCACCCUUUGAUGCAUAUUUAUUCCUAGUUUUCAAACACAACCUAUUGGCCUGUUUUAUAAAAAUGCAUAUUGUUUUUAUUGCAAAACAUGGUUGGAUAGCCACCCCUUGAUUGUUAUGAUUAUUCCUUGUUGUCCUAUAUUAUCUCUAAAUAUGACUUGCUCUAUUUAGAUGAUAAUUACUGCUAGAAUGCUUAG